Molecule: ribosomal RNA, 255 nt
Filed under: Listeria monocytogenes
Lineage: Bacteria; Bacillati; Bacillota; Bacilli; Caryophanales; Listeriaceae
Description: partial 23S ribosomal RNA
Rfam family: Bacterial large subunit ribosomal RNA
Source: RNAcentral
GAAAACCGACACAGGUAGAUGAGGAGAGAAUCCUAAGGUGAGCGAGAGAACUCUCGUUAAGGAACUCGGCAAAAUGACCCCGUAACUUCGGGAGAAGGGGUGCUCUAUUAGGGUGCAAGCCCGAGAGGGCCGCAGUGAAUAGGCCCAGGCGACUGUUUAGCAAAAACACAGGUCUCUGCAAAACCGUAAGGUGACGUAUAGGGGCUGACGCCUGCCCGGUGCUGGAAGGUUAAGAGGAGUGCUUAGCUUCGGCGA